GAUGAACGCUGGCGGCGUGCCUAAUACAUGCAAGUCGAGCGAACAGACGAGGAGCUUGCUCCUCUGACGUUAGCGGCGGACGGGUGAGUAACACGUGGAUAACCUACCUAUAAGACUGGGAUAACUUAGGGAAACCGGAGCUAAUACCGGAUAAUAUAUUGAACCGCAUGGUUCAAUAGUGAAAGACGGUUUUGCUGUCACUUAUAGAUGGAUCCGCGCCGCAUUAGCUAGUUGGUAAGGUAACGGCUUACCAAGGCAACGAUGCGUAGCCGACCUGAGAGGGUGAUCGGCCACACUGGAACUGAGACACGGUCCAGACUCCUACGGGAGGCAGCAGUAGGGAAUCUUCCGCAAUGGGCGAAAGCCUGACGGAGCAACGCCGCGUGAGUGAUGAAGGUCUUCGGAUCGUAAAACUCUGUUAUUAGGGAAGAACAAAUGUGUAAGUAACUAUGCACGUCUUGACGGUACCUAAUCAGAAAGCCACGGCUAACUACGUG
Molecule: ribosomal RNA, 497 nt
Filed under: uncultured bacterium
Lineage: Bacteria
Description: partial 16S ribosomal RNA
Rfam family: Bacterial small subunit ribosomal RNA
Source: RNAcentral